GUCACAAGGUGAGGCAGAAAACAAUAUCCACGUCUACGUAACAAAUAAAAGAUUGUUGAAACUGACAAAAGAUAACCAAGCAUACCAGAAGUGCCUUCCAGUUAAGAACCACCCCACAUCAGACAUCUGGAAAUUGAAGAGUAAAAUUAUAAGCACGGGAAACUCUAGCUAGAAGAGAAAAUGUAGUAGGAAAAAAUAACUAUUAUGUACUCCCUUUGCAACCCUCGAUUAACAACAUAUUAAUUGACAAUAUCAAAGAUUUUUCCGUGUCCAAAAACCAGACCAAGAUAGCCCCCACAUUAAGCUCCUAUUGCGAUGGUAUCAAAACCUAUUUUGUAUCUCCUGUCAUAGGGUGAGGGCCAAAUCAAUAUCCAAGUCUACAUAACAACAAAAUAACUAUAAUAGAAAGAGCAAGGGUAACCAAUUAUCAAACCAGAACUGCCUUCCAUUUAAGCUUGAUUAAAAACCACACAACAAUCAAGCAUCUGGAAAUUGAAGAGAAUAAAGAUAAGUAUGAGAAAGUCUAGGUGGAAGAUAAAUUUUAGUAGAAAAAAUUACUAUAAAAUACUCCCUCUGCUACCCUGGAUAAAACCUAUAUCAGAGACAGCGUGAAAGGUUUGAUCUGUGUCCAAUAACUUGACCAAGAUUAGCCCCACCUUAUGCUCCCUACUUUGAUAAAAUCAAAACUUAAAUUUUAUCUCCUGCCAUAGGAUGAGGAGAAAACAAUAUCCACGUCUACGUAGCAAACAAAAAACUGAUGAAAAAGAGAACCAAGCAUCAAACCAGAAGUGUCUUCAAGUUAAGAACCACACAACGACCAGACACCUGGGAUUGAAGAGUAUAACGAUGGAGAGUAUAACGAUAAGAACCAGAAACUCUGGGUAGAAUAGAAUAUGUAGAAGAUAAAAUACUAUUCUGUUCUCCAUCUGCCUCCCUCAAUAAACACUAUAUCAAUGCCGGCAUCAUAGAUUAGUCCAUGUCCAAAAACCCAACCAAGAUAGCCCCAACUUAGAGCUCCUACUUUGAUAGAAUUAAAACCUAUUUUGUAUCUCCUGUAACAGGGUGAGGCCCAAAACAAUAUCCAAGUCAACAUAACAACACAAAAACUACAUUUACAGAGCAAACGUAACCAAUUAUCAAACCAGCCUUCCCGUGAAGCUUGAUUAAGAACCACACAGAGAUCAGGCAUCUGCAAAUUGAUGAGAACAACAGUAAGCACGCGAUAGUCUAGGGAGAAGAUAAAAUGUUGUAAAAAAAAAUACUAUUCGAUACUCCCUCUGCCACACUCGAUAUUAACAGCGUCAAAGGUUUAUCUUCCGAUAACCAGAUUAGCCCCACCUUAAGCUCCUUCUUUUAAUACUUAAUUUUUAUCUCCUGUCAUAGGGUGAGGCAGAAAACAAUAUCCACGUCUACGUAACAAACAAAAAAUUGUUGAAACUGACAAAAGAUAACCAAGCAUCAAACCAGAAGUGCCUUCCAGUUAAGAACCACUGAACCACACAACGAAUCAUCAGACAUCUGGAGAUUGAAGAGUAUAACUAUAAGCACGGGAAACUUUAGGUAGAAGAGAAAAUGUAGUAGAAAAAAAAUACUACUCCAUGUACUCUUCCUAUUGCCACCCUUGAUUAACAAUAUACCAAUGACAGCAUCAAAGAUUUUUCCGUGCCAAAAACCAGACCAAGAUAGCCCCCACAUUAAGCUCCUAUUGUGAUAGAAUCAAAACCUAUUUUGUAUCUCCUGUCACAGAGUGAGGCCCAAAACAAUAUCGAGUCUACAUAACAACAAAAGAACUAAAAUAAAGAGAGCAAAGGUAACCAAUUAUCAAACCAGAACAGCCUUCCAGUGAAGCUAGAUUAAGAAGCUCAGAGCGAUCAAGCAUCUGAAAAUUGAUGAGAACGGUAAGCAAGGGCAAGUCUAGGUAGAGGAUAAAAUGUUGUAAAAAAAUUACUAUACUAUACUUCCUCUGCAACCCUUGAUAAAAACACAAUAUCAAUUUGUCAGCGUCAAAUGUUGGUCCGUGGCCAACAACCAGACCAAGAUUAGCACCACCAUAAGUUCCUAAUUUGAUAGAAUCAAAACAUAAUUUUUAUCUCCUGUCAUAGGGUGAGGCAGAAAACAUAAAUUCAUCAUGAUGAUCUUGAGGCUCCUCACCAGCGAUUAAUCUGUGGCCAGAGAAGAGAACAAUUGAGUAAAUUCAUAACUAUCAGCGUUUCCACCAACUGCCGAUAACCAUCAAACUAUCAGCGCGAAAGGAAAAGGACAAAAUAAACCUUCUGGCUUGAGAGAUCACGAGCUAUCCAAUCGGUUGCCCUACAGAUACAAACGAAAGUAAGCCCCGAUAACCAAUACGGCAGAGGAAAUCAUGAUCUAAAUAGACCGUCAAAACUUGAACUAUAAAAUCUGCACUCGUUGCGAAUAACUGAAUAUUAACCCAAAUCAGCAGAAGGAAUCACAAUAACCGAUCUACACAAAUCAAAUACGUCAAAGUAGAUUGAACAGAAAUCCUCCGCUAGGUCAUCUAUCCUCGCCGCCAUAUGUCAUACCAGACAGGGAAGGCUAAUGGAAAUCGCAACACAAGGAGAGAGUAACCCGAUCGAAAACACAAAACUUAAUCGCCAACGAAAUCGCACCACAAAACACAAUAACCCUAGAUAUGAAUUCAGGAGAAGAGGGCCACAAUAGAAGAAAAAUAAUAGCGAAACACGCAAAGAGGGGGGAUGGGUAGGAGAAUGUGGGGAGAUAUGGUAUAUAUAGUGAGUCAUAGAGAGACUUG
RNAcentral lists this long non-coding RNA (2773 nucleotides) under Salvia miltiorrhiza (redroot sage). RNAcentral describes it as "long non-coding RNA (SMIL_LNC005899)". The record is from RNAcentral. Lineage: Eukaryota; Viridiplantae; Streptophyta; Magnoliopsida; Lamiales; Lamiaceae.